AACGAACGCUGGCGGCAGGCCUAACACAUGCAAGUCGAACGCCGUAGCAAUACGGAGUGGCAGACGGGUGAGUAACACGUGGGAACGUACCCUUCGGUUCGGGAUAACUCAGGGAAACUUGAGCUAAUACCGGACACGUCCGAGAGGAGAAAGAUUUAUUGCCGAGGGAUCGGCCCGCGUCUGAUUAGCUUGUUGGUGAGGUAACGGCUCACCAAGGCGACGAUCAGUAGCUGGCUGAGAGGAUGAUCAGCCACAUUGGGACUGAGACACGGCCCAAACUCCUACGGGAGGCAGCAGUGGGGAAUAUUGGACAAUGGGCGCAAGCCUGAUCCAGCCAUGCCGCGUGAGUGAUGAAGGCCCUAGGGUUGUAAAGCUCUUUUACCC
RNAcentral lists this ribosomal RNA (384 nucleotides) under uncultured bacterium. Its description in RNAcentral is "bacterial SSU rRNA". It matches the Rfam family "Bacterial small subunit ribosomal RNA", at positions 29 to 441 of the family's 1533-position model. The record is from RNAcentral.